Molecule: ribosomal RNA, 237 nt
Filed under: Triticum aestivum (bread wheat)
Lineage: Eukaryota; Viridiplantae; Streptophyta; Magnoliopsida; Poales; Poaceae
Description: partial small subunit ribosomal RNA
Source: RNAcentral
AUGGGUGCGAGAAAUGCUGCUAUGUGUUUUGUGCUGAUACUUGUGGUGUUUGCGAAUCAUGGUUCCGCAGAACAUAAGUGCUGGGAAAGGACCACUAGUGCUCCGCUCUGUGUAGGCUUUCUGUGCAAGGCGGCAUGCUUGAUUGCAGGCAAAACGUUUAACGCCAUCGUGAAGGAACACAAGUGUGUAGGGCCAGCAUUGAGCAGCUACUGCUACUGCUAUUUCUGCGACAAAUAG